AGUGAACGCUGGCGGUAGGCCUAACACAUGCAAGUCGAACGGAAGCACAGUAAGAGCUUGCUCCUACGGGUGGCGAGUGGCGGACGGGUGAGGAAUACAUCGGAAUCUACUUUUUCGUGGGUGAUAACGUAGGGAAACUUACGCUAAUACCGCAUACGACCUACGGGUGAAAGCAGGGGAUCUUCGGACCUUGCGCGAUUGAAUGAGCCGAUGUCGGAUUAGCUAGUUGGCGGGGUAAAGGCCCACCAAGGCGACGAUCCGUAGCUGGUCUGAGAGGAUGAUCAGCCACACUGGAACUGAGACACGGUCCAGACUCCUACGGGAGGCAGCAGUAGGGAAUAUUGGGCAAUGGGCGAAAGCCUGAUCGAGCAACACCGCGUGAGUGAAGAAGGUCUUCGGGUUGUAAAGCUCUGUUAUUAGGAAAGAAAAACUGUGUGUGAAUCUAUGCCUGUUUUGACGGUACCUAAUCAGUAAGCACCGGCUAACUUCGUG
This 492-nucleotide ribosomal RNA is filed under the name uncultured bacterium. RNAcentral describes it as "partial 16S ribosomal RNA". It matches the Rfam family "Bacterial small subunit ribosomal RNA", at positions 29 to 507 of the family's 1533-position model. The record is from RNAcentral.